This 1728-nucleotide ribosomal RNA is filed under the name Salmonella enterica subsp. enterica serovar Newport str. CVM 19536. Its description in RNAcentral is "bacterial LSU rRNA". It matches the Rfam family "Bacterial large subunit ribosomal RNA", at positions 1220 to 2925 of the family's 2925-position model. Lineage: Bacteria; Pseudomonadati; Pseudomonadota; Gammaproteobacteria; Enterobacterales; Enterobacteriaceae. The record is from RNAcentral.
GUUGUUGGGUAGGGGAGCGUUCUGUAAGCCUGUGAAGGUGGCCUGUGAGGGUUGCUGGAGGUAUCAGAAGUGCGAAUGCUGACAUAAGUAACGAUAAAGCGGGUGAAAAGCCCGCUCGCCGGAAGACCAAGGGUUCCUGUCCAACGUUAAUCGGGGCAGGGUGAGUCGACCCCUAAGGCGAGGCCGAAAGGCGUAGUCGAUGGGAAACGGGUUAAUAUUCCCGUACUUGGUGUUACUGCGAAGGGGGGACGGAGAAGGCUAUGUUGGCCGGGCGACGGUUGUCCCGGUUUAAGCGUGUAGGUGUGUGUUCCAGGUAAAUCCGGUUCACUUUAACACUGAGGCGUGACGACGAGGCACUACGGUGCUGAAGCAACAAAUGCCCUGCUUCCAGGAAAAGCCUCUAAGCAUCAGGUAACAUCAAAUCGUACCCCAAACCGACACAGGUGGUCAGGUAGAGAAUACCAAGGCGCUUGAGAGAACUCGGGUGAAGGAACUAGGCAAAAUGGUGCCGUAACUUCGGGAGAAGGCACGCUGACACGUAGGUGAAGUGAUUUACUCACGGAGCUGAAGUCAGUCGAAGAUACCAGCUGGCUGCAACUGUUUAUUAAAAACACAGCACUGUGCAAACACGAAAGUGGACGUAUACGGUGUGACGCCUGCCCGGUGCCGGAAGGUUAAUUGAUGGGGUCAGCGCAAGCGAAGCUCCUGAUCGAAGCCCCGGUAAACGGCGGCCGUAACUAUAACGGUCCUAAGGUAGCGAAAUUCCUUGUCGGGUAAGUUCCGACCUGCACGAAUGGCGUAAUGAUGGCCAGGCUGUCUCCACCCGAGACUCAGUGAAAUUGAACUCGCUGUGAAGAUGCAGUGUACCCGCGGCAAGACGGAAAGACCCCGUGAACCUUUACUAUAGCUUGACACUGAACAUUGAGCCUUGAUGUGUAGGAUAGGUGGGAGGCUUUGAAGUGUGGACGCCAGUCUGCAUGGAGCCGACCUUGAAAUACCACCCUUUAAUGUUUGAUGUUCUAACGUGGACCCGUAAUCCGGGUUGCGGACAGUGUCUGGUGGGUAGUUUGACUGGGGCGGUCUCCUCCUAAAGAGUAACGGAGGAGCACGAAGGUUGGCUAAUCCUGGUCGGACAUCAGGAGGUUAGUGCAAUGGCAUAAGCCAGCUUGACUGCGAGCGUGACGGCGCGAGCAGGUGCGAAAGCAGGUCAUAGUGAUCCGGUGGUUCUGAAUGGAAGGGCCAUCGCUCAACGGAUAAAAGGUACUCCGGGGAUAACAGGCUGAUACCGCCCAAGAGUUCAUAUCGACGGCGGUGUUUGGCACCUCGAUGUCGGCUCAUCACAUCCUGGGGCUGAAGUAGGUCCCAAGGGUAUGGCUGUUCGCCAUUUAAAGUGGUACGCGAGCUGGGUUUAGAACGUCGUGAGACAGUUCGGUCCCUAUCUGCCGUGGGCGCUGGAGAACUGAGGGGGGCUGCUCCUAGUACGAGAGGACCGGAGUGGACGCAUCACUGGUGUUCGGGUUGUCAUGCCAAUGGCACUGCCCGGUAGCUAAAUGCGGAAGAGAUAAGUGCUGAAAGCAUCUAAGCACGAAACUUGCCCCGAGAUGAGUUCUCCCUGAGACUUAGAGUCUCCUGAAGGAACGUUGAAGACGACGACGUUGAUAGGCCGGGUGUGUAAGCGCAGCGAUGCGUUGAGCUAACCGGUACUAAUGAACCGUGAGGCUUAACCUU